RNAcentral lists this ribosomal RNA (497 nucleotides) under uncultured bacterium. Its description in RNAcentral is "partial 16S ribosomal RNA". It matches the Rfam family "Bacterial small subunit ribosomal RNA", at positions 28 to 507 of the family's 1533-position model. The record is from RNAcentral.
GAUGAACGCUGGCGGCGUGCCUAAUACAUGCAAGUCGAGCGGACAGACGAGGAGCUUGCUCCUCUGACGUUAGCGGCGGACGGGUGAGUGACACGUGGAUAACCCACCUAUAAGACGGGGAUAACUUCGGGAAACCGGAGCUUAUAGCUGAUAAUAUAUUGAACCGCAGGGGUCAAUAGUGAAAGACGGCUUUGGGGUAUCUACUAGAGGGAUAUCGGCCGGAUUAGCUGGUUGGUACGGUAACGGCUUAUCAAGGGAAGGAUGCGUGGCCGACCUGAGAGGGUGGUCGGCGGCAUUGGAACUGGGACACGGUCAUGACUCCUACGGGAGGCAGCAGUAGGGAAUCUGCCGCAGUGGGCGGAAGCUUGACGGAGCGACGCCGCGUCAGUGGUGAAGGUCUUCGGAUCGUAAAACUCUGUUAUUAGGGAAGAACAAAUGUGUAAGUAACUAUACCCGUCUUGACGGUACCUGAUCAGAAAGCCACGGCUAACUACGUG